ACAGUUUGAGAGAGGUAGUAACAAGAAAUAACAAUACAAGGCAGUUAAAAUGCUUUGUAAUUGGAAUGAUAGAAAUUUAAACCCUUUUUAAAGUAUCAAUUGGAGGGCAAGUCUGGUGCCAGCAGCCGCGGUAAUUCCAGCUCCAAUAGCGUAUAUUAAAAUUGUUGCAGUUAAAAAGCUCGUAGUUGAAGUUCUGCUGAAAGUAACCGGUCUGCUUUUAAUAAAAGUGGUAUCUUGGUAUGUAUUUAGCAAUGAUGUCCUUUGAAGUGUUUUUUACUUUAUUGUAAUAAAGCAUAUUCAGGACUUUUACUUUGAGAAAAUUAGAGUGUUUCUAGCAGGCUGACGCUUUGAAUACUGCAGCAUGGAAUAAUAAGAUAGGAUUUUAGUUCUACAUUAUUGGUUUUAAGAGCUAAAUUAAUGAUUGAUAGGGACAGUUGGGGGCAUUUGUAUUUAACUGUCAGAGGUGAAAUUCUUAGAUUUGUUAAAGACAAACUACUGCGAAAGCAUUUGCCAAAGAUGUUUUCAUUAAUCAAGAACGAAAGUUAGGGGAUCGAAGACGAUCAGAUACCGUCGUAGUCUUAACUAUAAACUAUGCCGACUAGAGAUUGGAGGUCGUCUUU
RNAcentral lists this ribosomal RNA (620 nucleotides) under Hepatozoon canis. RNAcentral's name for it is "bacterial SSU rRNA". It matches the Rfam family "Eukaryotic small subunit ribosomal RNA", at positions 454 to 1067 of the family's 1831-position model. The record is from RNAcentral. Lineage: Eukaryota; Apicomplexa; Hepatozoidae.